Molecule: ribosomal RNA, 253 nt
Filed under: uncultured bacterium
Lineage: Bacteria
Description: partial 16S ribosomal RNA
Rfam family: Bacterial small subunit ribosomal RNA
Source: RNAcentral
GACAGAGGGGGCAAGCGUUGCUCGGAAUUACUGGGCGUAAAGGGCGCGUAGGCGGGAUGGCAAGUCGGUCGUGAAAUCCCUCGGCUCAACCGAGGAACGUCAAUCGAUACUGCUGUUCUUGAGGAUUGCAGAGGAGACUGGAAUUCCCGGUGUAGCGGUGAAAUGUGUAGAGAUCGGGAGGAACACCGGUGGCGAAGGCGGGUCUCUGGGCAAUUCCUGACGCUGAGGCGCGAAAGCGUGGGGAGCAAACGGG